This 516-nucleotide ribosomal RNA is filed under the name uncultured Paraglomus. RNAcentral's name for it is "SSU rRNA". It matches the Rfam family "Eukaryotic small subunit ribosomal RNA", at positions 569 to 1089 of the family's 1831-position model. Lineage: Eukaryota; Fungi; Glomeromycota; Glomeromycetes; Paraglomerales; Paraglomeraceae. The record is from RNAcentral.
AGCAGCCGCGGUAAUUCCAGCUCCAAUAGCGUAUAUUAAAGUUGUUGCAGUUAAAAAGCUCGUAGUUGAACUUCAGGCCUGGCUGGACGGUCCGCCCUCUGGGUGAGCACUGUCUGUGGUCGGGUCCUACCUUCUGGCGAAGCGGCAUGGCCUUAACCGGCCGUGGCGGGGAACCAGGACUUUUACUGUGAAAAAAUUAGAGUGUUCAAAGCAGGCACGCGCUUGAAUACAUUAGCAUGGAAUAAUGGAAUAGGACAAUGGUUCUAUUUGUUGGUUUCUAGGACCGUUGUAAUGAUUAAUAGGGAUAGUUGGGGGCAUUAGUAUUCAAUUGUCAGAGGUGAAAUUCUUGGAUUUAUUGAAGACUAACUACUGCGAAAGCAUUUGCCAAGGAUGUUUUCAUUAAUCAAGAACGAAAGUUAGGGGAUCGAAGACGAUCAGAUACCGUCGUAGUCUUAACCAUAAACUAUGCCGACUAGGAAUCGGGCGAUGUUGACAAAAUGACGCGCUCGGCACCUC